ACCUGGCUGGCUCAGUGGGAGAGCAUGAAACUCUUGAUCUUAGGGUUGUGAGUUCGAGCCCCAUGUUGGGUG
Molecule: transfer RNA, 72 nt
Filed under: Ailuropoda melanoleuca (giant panda)
Lineage: Eukaryota; Metazoa; Chordata; Mammalia; Carnivora; Ursidae
Rfam family: tRNA
About the family: Transfer RNA (tRNA) molecules are approximately 80 nucleotides in length. Their secondary structure includes four short double-helical elements and three loops (D, anti-codon, and T loops).
Source: Rfam by way of RNAcentral